CAGUACACACAUACACAAACAAGAAGAAGGGAAAGAGGCGAGGCGUACCAUUCGCUUUUUUUCUUCGUUGUUCUGUGCACAUGUGCGAUGGGGUGCGGCUGCUGGGGCGGCCGGGUCUACUUGAAUUUUUCGUUGUGCGCGUUGUGGACGGACCUUUUUCCUACGGCGUCUCCAUUGCGCACGUCACGAUCGACUCGAUAGAUUCAAAGAACCGCACAUAAUUCCACCGUUACACGGAUUCGUAGUCGACAUCCUUCUCUGUCAACUUUCAGCCAUUUCAGACGCCGCUCACCGCGGCAAAAUCGGCUCGAGAAUCACGAACCCCACUGAAAAGGCAAGAAAGCCGAUGGAAGACGAGGAGGAGUUGUCGAUGGUUGUACCGGUGCCGGGGUCUGGCGUCUCCUCCCAGCGUGCUGCUUCGGAGCGGUCGGUGCAUGCGGGGAAAUCAUCGGCACAGGAUGCUUCAACUUCGGCAUGCACCGCAGGCACCCCCUUCUCGCGCUCCAGGACACCUGUUCCUUUUCGCCGAGCUCCUUCUGCUGCACGGGGAAGCGAUGAGCAGGACCAAGUAAGCAUUCCUACUCCCUCUAUCCAGAGAAUGAAGCCGUCAAUGUCGCCAAAGGUGGAUGAAUCGACUGCAGCGCCCACACAAAGGCCGUCUGGGCGUUCUGCCGCGUCCAGCACCUCUAUCGUGUUCUCGGGGGCCGACAGCACCACCGGGACCUCUAUCCUGUUCGCCAGCGGUGACGCGUCUUCUGACCGCGUCAUGAGCGGUGAAGUUUCACCGCUUAGUCGCUCCCCUUGUGUUGCGAAGAAAGACAAGUCUGGCAACGUUGCUGCGCCGAAGCCGCAGACGAAAUACGACGAGGUUGCCCAGGACGCUGCUGCUGUUGUCGAUCUCACGAGUGACUCGUCGUUUGACCUCCACAUCGAGGAAGAUGAGCAGGCGGAGGAGCCGCCGGCAGUGGCGGCAGCGGCGGAUGAAGCACCGCAGGAUGAGCGCGAACCGUCAAAGGCGUCUAAGAAUCCAACGCCUGGCUCAUCUAAGCUUGCCUCAUCGAUAUCCAAAAAGGAGGCAACUGACAAACGCAUGGAAAAAGCGGGCAAAUCCACGAGCCGUGCCACGCCUGCGGUGCCGUCUGCCCACCCUGCACCGAGGGGCAGCCGUGCGCGCCGUGGAGCCAAAGUUACCGUGCCUUCACAGCAAGCGAGUGCUGCCCGUGCCUCGAGAGGCCGUCCGGGAACGUCAUCAGCAUUGGAGCGGAAGGCAAACACCCCUCGAGCAGAGCAGCAACUUGCCUCUUCUAGAGAUCAUGAUUUGGUCGCCUCCCCGUCGCCAUCCUCUCGCAUCAGCAGCAGCGGGGGCAGUCUUAGUCACCCCGAGUCUCGCGGCUCUGUGAACUCCGUCGGCGAGGAGAGCGCAGAGCGCUUUCCGAAUCGCGAACGCCAUGGCGACCGUCGGCUUCGUCCCACCCCGGCCGAGGACACAGAAGAUGAUGAGGAUCGGCGGUCAAUCAGCACACCAGAGCGAGUAGUAGGGCAUGGCGCAUCUCGUAACCACAAAGGCGUCACAUCAGACACUGGCGAGAGGGCUCGCAGCAGUCGCGCACGCCGUGGGGCGGCCAAUGAGCAUUCGCGAAGGGCGCAUUCUGGUCCCUCGCGCACGGAUCGCUGCCGAGGUAGAGAACUGUCGCGAGAGGGGCACCAUCAUUUGUCGUCACGGUCACCGGUGCGCCGCCAUGGCUCCCGGCGCCUGACCGUCGAAAGCUUGCACGGCGGCGCGCUGGCGCACGAGUGUUUGAUGGAGCUGUGGCAGCACAACCGCGAGGGGGACUUUGACUGGCCUCGGCCACACCGCCGGCGCCGCAGCGGUGAGGCACCUCCACAUCAUCGGUGCCACUGCCGCUCAGAAAGUAGCGCGGAUCACGUGCCGCUCCACCGCGUCUCCUUCUACGACGACUACACAGAUAACGACGUGUACGCUGCAGCCGCUGUCACUUCUCAUGAGCGAUUCGGUGGCCUCACGGAGCGGUUUCGCCGUCGCAGCAGCCGCGAGGGUGGGGACGACGGGUACGGGGCGGCGGCCGUGCAAAGCGCACGCUCAGCCGCCAGCUCCGUCUUCAGCGGCGAUGACGUCGAGGACAAGGAGGAACUGCUUACCUCCUCCCAGGUCAAUGACCGCAGGAGCAGUACUAGGGGCCGCCGAGUCGAUACUGAACUGUCGCCUCGCUCAAAGGCGCGUUACGCCGAUAGCAGACCAGGGCAAACAAUAUGCCGGCAAGAACUUCUAAGGUACGACUACGGAAAUCGCCGGGCGUCCGAGCUUCGAGGAGGUGGAUCGAUGCACCGCCGCGAUGGCACUGCGGCCCGCGAUCAUCGCCGUCGUGGCGCUGAGUGGGAGCCUGACUACUACUACUUGAACGCGCCACGGAAAGGCUAUUCGCUCGAUAGCGGUGGCUGCGGCUCUUCUCGGUGCCUGCAAAGCUGCCACAGUCCCCGUCUGGCUGCUCCGCCGGCUCGUGAGAGCCCUCUCCUUUCGCGUUGUGGCAUCUAUCGCCCUGAUUUGCCUUCGGACGCACUGUCAGGCGAGGUGCGGUAUCAGUCACUCCCGCCUUCGGCAUCCUCGCCCGUUCGCAGGCACCGAGCCCGGAGCGCGGCAAGCGGCAAACAGGCAACACCAUUGCGGCGAGCGUCACAGAGCCUUGCGUCCUCUGUGGCUUCCAUCUCUCUUCCGGAGAAGGAGCUGCUGGGCGAGGUGGAGUGGAAGCUGGAUGCGCUGGAGAAACAGAUCGCCGACGAAGAUGCAGAGCGGGAGCGAGUGAUGAUGCGUAGUCCGUUUGAGCGGCUCUACCAUCUGAACAACCGCCGCGACCGUGACGAGCGACGCAAUAAAGUGUUCCAGCUAAACCUCCUCGAACGGAUUCGCGACCGAAUCGUCUCCGGCUCGCUGAAGGAGGACAUCGCGCGGAAGGAAGAGCGGCUGCGCAAGCAGGAGGAGAUGCUGACAAGUCCAAACGGGGUGUUUGUUCGCCUGUACCAGAACUCGAGUCCGCGUCGCUCCUCAAACGUCGCCGCCGAAGGCAGCGAUUGCAAGAGUGCGGGAGAGGGCAACCGUGACGGGCGUGCCAGCGUCAACACUACCGGCGUGUCCAGUCAGCGGGCGUCGACGGCACGUAGCCGCAUGAGCACGGCCGAGUCGCAGGAGCUGUGCAACCGCCUCUACGAAACCGCCGCCAUCGUGAAGCAGAAGAAGGAGGCGAUGAGGAAGCAAUCGGUAGAGAAGCGCCAACGGCAGCAGGCAGAGGAGCUCCUGAUCGCACGCUUGGCGGGCCAGAUUCAGCUCGAACGAUCCCGGGCACGUGCCUCGUCAAAGAGGCGACCAAAGACGCCAGCUCAGUUGGAAGACGAAGCCCGCGCGGAGCUGGAGAAGCUGCGCGAAGAGGACCCGGAAGGCUACGAGAAGAAGGUGCUGCGAGGUCGCGUGCUGUCGCCAGCGGAAAGAAAUAUGCAGGCCGAGCGGCUCUGGAAGCACGGCUAUAUCUCGAAGGCUAAACUAGAGGCGCAAAAGAAGGUGUUGGAGCUGAAGAAGUGCACUUUUCAGCCUACCAUCAAUGAGUUCCCAGCCUCAGCCGGCAUUGCCGGGCGUGAACAGACGCGCAGCAAGGGCGGCGGUGGCGCGAAUGAUGCCAAACACUUGAGCGCCGGCACCGACCGUGCGCAGCGCCACCGCAAGGCGGACCGGUUCGAGGAGCUGUACCACAAAGGAAUGCAGGCCAAGGUGCGUGGAGAGACGCUACGCGACGAGCGCGACCGUGAAGCGCGCCUCAGCAUCCUGCGCAGUCGUAUGGUGAGCGACCACCAUUUUCGGCGCCGCGUCGAGCUCGACCCAUCGCUCGCCGAGCGCUUCAUGAAGUCACUGGUUGUGUAGUGCGCCGAUUGCCGACAGGCUAUUCGCUGCGCGCAGCUACAAGGAGCGCCCGGCGCAGGGUGUACUACACUCGCAUGCAUGCCACGUGCCGAGGGGCGGGGAAGGGGGCUUUGCUGUUGUCUGCGCCCGUGUCUGCGUGCGGAAGCAGCGGCAUACGCAUCGGGUGUUGGAGGCAGAAUCGUCGCACAUGCACUUGUUAUUUUUUUGAGCUGCUCUCACUACAUAUCACUCUGAUGCUCCCUUUCUUUACUUGUGUGACGGCUUGUUUGUAUGUGCUUCAGGGGUGCGUCAAGAAGCUGAUGCUCCUUGUCUCCUCAGCAUGUCCGCUAGAUCGUUUGGAUGGUUUUCGAGUCGUCUGUCCCUUGCAGUGGCGUUGCUGUGUUUCUAUUUACAUAGAUGUUUGGCUGCAUCCUGCAGGUGCCAAACUGACGAAGCUCGAUCUGGUACAUGAGCGGGGACUAGAACAGUGGCUUUUGCGUGACUCCGUACAGAAACAUGUCGAGACUGCAACUCACCACGCGCACAAAAGUGCGACCACGCAGGCGCACGGACAGGCUCUCUCACCACCUACCUCGUGUUCUCUUUCUGCUGUUCCUCUCUUGCGUGCCAGGUUCACCUCCUAUUCCAUUUUCUUUUUCGUCUUUUUUGUUUGGAGGUCUGUCGUCGACGCGAGAGGGAGGGAGGGGCCGCAGCCUUGUGAAGCAUGCGCUCCGACAUAGACUUGUAUCGGUGUUGCACACAGGGGCGUAUGGUGAGGGGAAAGAGCGAAUCACUCGCAGUAUGCUGCGACGAAGCUGCUUGAACAUCGUUGUGGACUGCCCCUCUCCCUCUGUGUGUUCUGUCGUGCCCACUCUUGCCUUGUCUGCAUGUGCCAGUGAGACACACACAAGGCAGCAAAGGGAUGGAGACAGACAUGGCGGCUGUGGGAAGAAAGAAGAAAGCGGAUGGGGUCCGAAAGAGCUGUCACGCACUACUGCUGCUGUGUCCACGAUGCUGAGGUGAUCCGUUGGCUGAGCCCUUGCGCAUCUCGCUUCUGUAGCGAGACGCUGGCAAACUGCCGCCGCCUCUUUUUUUUUGUCUACCUUGUCGUGCAUUGCCGUCUCUCCCCGCACCUUUCAACUAUGGCUGAGGAGGGCGCGAGAGAGUAAGAGGGGCCAUGCAAAGGGAUGUGCUGCUUCUGCAACAUGCUGUGCUGUGGUGUGUCUCUGCUCCCAUGCGUGCACAAUGGUAUUCGUGCUUCUCCUUGUGGUUCUGUUGGUUGUUACACUUCGAUGCGAUGAGAACCCCAAUGCAGCAAACUUUAAAGGACGGAUCCACCGCGGCACCAGUCUCCGUGGAGCGCAAAGGCAUGGUACUCGCUCCGGUCUGGUGCCACGCACCUGUGUGAUAGCGUUGCGCCGACUCGCAACACCAUCAUUGCUCUCAUUGUGCG
This 5360-nucleotide unclassified non-coding RNA is filed under the name Leishmania donovani. RNAcentral describes it as "gene:LdHU3.36.1980(CDS-product:hypothetical_prote in_conserved)". Lineage: Eukaryota; Euglenozoa; Kinetoplastea; Trypanosomatida; Trypanosomatidae. The record is from RNAcentral.